Molecule: long non-coding RNA, 1045 nt
Filed under: Olea europaea subsp. europaea
Lineage: Eukaryota; Viridiplantae; Streptophyta; Magnoliopsida; Lamiales; Oleaceae
Source: RNAcentral
UAGUAAUCAAAUUCUGCCUACUCUCGACCUCAUUUCUCCCCAUUAAUGGCCAGAGUAGUAUGCUCAAAUCUUAUUUCUUCAGUUUCAUCAUUUUAACUGACACCUUCACUACGGUUCUAAUAACCAAAUCUUUCAAAUUUUUCGAAGAUAUUUAGAGCGGUGGAUGAUUUUCAUGCUAAUAUGGUUUUCAGCAGUGGCGAAGUGGGAGUGUUGAUGCUGUUUAUGGUGGUUUGGGGCCUCAACGAUUUUCAGUAGGGGCGACGUCGAGGUGUGGUCGUGGUAUUGCGUCGGGGUGUGGUGGUGUUGAUACUACUUGUGGUGGUGGUAGUGACGGUUUAAGACUACUGUGGUUUUCAACAGUGGUGGCAUCGAGGUGUGGUGGUGGUGUUGAUGCUCCUUGUGAUGGUGGUAGUGGUGGUUUUGGUGUUGGGGGUUUUAAAUUAUUUUUGUUGGUUGUGCAGUAGAUGUGCUGGCAUGAGUAUAACUGAAGAAGAAAAGACCCAAUAUUUUUGAAGGUUUCGAUGAGCAUAUAAUUCAUUUCAGUAGAGAAAGUGGGGUCAAUGAGGGGUAAGGAACAGUGAAAAACAGCUAACGUGUGUUGGGGGAAGUCGUGGUUGGACUAAACCAGCAAAUUAAAGUGUUAUUUCUUUCCUAGUAUUAGAUAUACCUAAGUGUGCAUGGAUAUGAGUAUUAGUUGUGAAGUGUGUGUAAGGAUGGUGGCUUGGCCUUUUAACCCACGAGCUCAGCUCGGCUCGGGCUCGAGGCGAGCCGAGCUCAUGGCUCAUGAAAAAUGAUGCUCGGAACUCGAGGGCGAGCUUAGAUUGGCCCACGAGCUUGCGAGCCUAGCCAAGACCAUGAGCUCGUGAACUUUGUGUACCCAUGAGCCACUUGCGGGCUUGACGAGCCGAGUAGGCUCGACUCCUGGAAUUGAGGUGACGAGCCCGAGCUACCCAUGAGUCGAGCGGCCUAGUCGACGAGUCGCUCGAUUCGUUUGACAUCCCUAAGUGUGUGUGACUAGAGUAAAUGCAUGAAUCUUGACAUGGAU